AUUUAAUCAUCUCGCAUCAUCACAUGGAAGAAGGUCGACUUUCCACGCAGCAGUCGGAGUGACCCUUUUAAACAUAAGCCAGAUCACGCUGCUGCGCUGCUCAGAACCGUCCGUGGACUCCUACCUCGUGCAAUAGCCACUGGGCACUAGUGGCCUGGCGAUUACCUCUCUGACAUCAUCUUCUACUUUGGUGUAUAUUUAACAUAUUUCCAUAUUAAUAAUUAAAAAAAAGAAGGAAAGGACCCAAUUUUAUUGAGUUAAUUUACAUGAGGACGCAAUUCUGAAAACACAGUGCAAGCAUGGUUGUUUUCUCUCGGGAAAGAUUUUGUUUUCAGCAUCCAUGUCUUCACACGGCACUUGAGCAAGGUGGCGGGGCCCAUUUCCUUUGCACAUUGUAUUCUCCUUGUACUCUGGGUUUUUGAAUCAUUAACCUCAUUGGCUGGCACUUACAGUACAUGCAAAGCUGCUGGUGGCUCACGUGCAGAAACUUGAUGAAGC
Molecule: long non-coding RNA, 498 nt
Filed under: Homo sapiens (human)
Lineage: Eukaryota; Metazoa; Chordata; Mammalia; Primates; Hominidae
Description: HSALNT0024093
Source: RNAcentral